This 274-nucleotide ribosomal RNA is filed under the name uncultured bacterium. Its description in RNAcentral is "partial 16S ribosomal RNA". It matches the Rfam family "Bacterial small subunit ribosomal RNA", at positions 523 to 796 of the family's 1533-position model. The record is from RNAcentral.
AUACGGAGGGGGUUAGCGUUGUUCGGAAUUACUGGGCGUAAAGCGCGUGUAGGCGGAUCGUUAAGUCAGGGGUGAAAGCCCGGGGCUCAACCCCGGAACUGCCCUUGAUACUGGCGAUCUAGAGUCCGGAAGAGGUGGGCGGAAUUCCCGGUGUAGAGGUGAAAUUCGUAGAUAUCGGGAGGAACACCAGUGGCGAAGGCGGCUCACUGGUCCGGUACUGACGCUGAGACGCGAAAGCGUGGGGAGCAAACAGGAUUAGAAACCCUUGUAGUCC